AACGGGUGAGUAACACGUGGGCAAUCUGCCCUGCACUCUGGGNCAANNCCUGGAAACGGGGUCUAAUACCGGAUAAUACUCCUGCACUCAUGUGUGGGGGUUAAAAGCUCCGGCGGUGCAGGAUGAGCCCGCGGCCUAUCAGCUUGUUGGUGAGGUAAUGGCUCACCAAGGCGACGACGGGUAGCCGGCCUGAGAGGGCGACCGGCCACACUGGGACUGAGACACGGCCCAGACUCCUACGGGAGGCAGCAGUGGGGAAUAUUGCACAAUGGGCGAAAGCCUGAUGCAGCGACGCCGCGUGAGGGAUGACGGCCUUCGGGUUGUAAACCUCUUUCAGCAGGGAAGAAGCGAAAGUGACGGUACCUGCAGAAGAAGCGCCGGCUAACUACGUGCCAGCAGCCGCGGUAAUACGUAGGGCGCAAGCGUUGUCCGGAAUUAUUGGGCGUAAAGAGCUCGUAGGCGGCUUGUCACGUCGGGUGUGAAAGCCCGGGGCUUAACCCCGGGUCUGCAUUCNAUACGGGCUAGCUAGAGUGUGGUAGGGGAGAUCGGAAUUCCUGGUGUAGCGGUGAAAUGCGCAGAUAUCAGGAGGAACACCGGUGGCGAAGGCGGAUCUCUGGGCCAUUACUGACGCUGANGAGCGAAAGCGUGGGGGAGCGAACAGGAUUAGAUACCCUGGUAGUCCACGCCGUAAACGGUGGGAACUAGGUGUUGGCG
RNAcentral lists this ribosomal RNA (714 nucleotides) under Streptomyces sp. CNRE04. RNAcentral describes it as "bacterial SSU rRNA". It matches the Rfam family "Bacterial small subunit ribosomal RNA", at positions 101 to 828 of the family's 1533-position model. The record is from RNAcentral. Lineage: Bacteria; Bacillati; Actinomycetota; Actinomycetes; Kitasatosporales; Streptomycetaceae.